Helianthus annuus (common sunflower) is the source of this 126-nucleotide non-coding RNA. NCBI's taxonomy places the organism in Eukaryota, Viridiplantae, Streptophyta, Magnoliopsida, Asterales, Asteraceae. The record is from Rfam.
GCUAGAAGAGCAUGUCAGUAAGACAAGGAGUAACUUGCCUCGUAAAUAACACAAGGUAUUACAUUCCAAAACUGUGAGGUGUGACGAGGCAAGUCAUCCUUGGCUAUCAAACAAGAACUCUUCUCU